CAAUAGCGUAUAUUAAAGUUGUUGCAGUUAAAAAGCUCGUAGUUGGAUUUCCGGCGUGAGGGAUCAGUCUGACUUCUAGUCAGUACUUGGUCCUCUCAUGCCGUCCUUGAAUGGUGCAUCCUGGCAUUAAGUUGUCGGGGUGAGAGCCGUUCAUCGUUUACUGUGAGAAAAUUAGAGUGUUCAAAGCAGGCUUAUGCCGUUGAAUAUAUUAGCAUGGAAUAAUAAGAUAGGACUUUGAGUCUAUUUUGUUGGUUUGUCGAGUCAAAGUAAAUGAUUAAUAGGGACAGUUGGGGGUAGUUCGUAUUUCAUUGUCAGAGGUGAAAUUACUUGGAUUUC
Molecule: ribosomal RNA, 336 nt
Filed under: uncultured eukaryote
Lineage: Eukaryota
Description: SSU rRNA
Rfam family: Eukaryotic small subunit ribosomal RNA
Source: RNAcentral